RNAcentral lists this ribosomal RNA (484 nucleotides) under uncultured bacterium. RNAcentral describes it as "partial 16S ribosomal RNA". It matches the Rfam family "Bacterial small subunit ribosomal RNA", at positions 30 to 507 of the family's 1533-position model. The record is from RNAcentral.
AUUGAACGCUGGCGGCAGGCCUAACACAUGCAAGUCGAGCGGAUGAAGGGAGCUUGCUCCUGGAUUCAGCGGCGGACGGGUGAGUAAUGCCUAGGAAUCUGCCUGGUAGUGGGGGAUAACGUCCGGAAACGGGCGCUAAUACCGCAUACGUCCUGAGGGAGAAAGUGGGGGAUCUUCGGACCUCACGCUAUCGGAUGAGCCUAGGUCGGAUUAGCUAGUUGGUGGGGUAAAGGCCUACCAAGGCGACGAUCCGUAACUGGUCUGAGAGGAUGAUCGGUCACACUGGAACUGAGACACGGUCCAGACUCCUACGGGAGGCAGCAGUGGGGAAUAUUGGACAAUGGGCGAAAGCCUGAUCCAGCCAUGCCGCGUGUGUGAAGAAGGUCUUCGGAUUGUAAAGCACUUUAAGUUGGGAGGAAGGGCAGUAAGUUAAUACCUUGCUGUUUUGACGUUACCAACAGAAUAAGCACCGGCUAACUUCGUG